Molecule: ribosomal RNA, 440 nt
Filed under: uncultured bacterium
Lineage: Bacteria
Description: partial 16S ribosomal RNA
Rfam family: Bacterial small subunit ribosomal RNA
Source: RNAcentral
CCUACGGGCGGCUGCAGUGGGGAAUAUUGCACAAUGGGGGCAACCCUGAUGCAGCGACGCCGCGUGAGUGAAGAAGUAUUUCGGUACGUAAAGCUCUAUCAGCAGGGAAGUAAAUGACGGUACCUGACUCAUAAUCCACGACUAACUACGUGCCAGCAGCCGCGGUAAUACGUAGGGAGCAAGCGUUAUCCGGAUUUACUGGGUUUAAAGGGAGCGUAGACGGGAUGCUAAGUCUGGAGUGAAAUCCCAUGGCUUAACCAUGGAACUGCUUGGGAAACUGUGCAGCUUGAGUGCAGGGGAGGUAAGCGGAAUUCGUAGUGUAGCGGUGAAAUGCGUAGAUAUUAGGAGGAACACCAGUGGCGAAGGCGGCUUACUGGACUGUAACUGACGUUGAGGCUCGAAAGUGUGGGGAGCAAACAGGAUUAGAUACCCCAGUAGUC